GUUAUUGACUUCGGAAGAAAUUACAUUACGAUAAUAUUAUUGAAAAGUCCGAGUGUUUCGAUUGUUGUUUGGAUUAGUCGAAUGACAUCGUUUAAAGCUAUUUUUAUUUGUUUGUGACGUUAUACAAAUCAUGGAAAACACCAGACAGCAUGGCUUGGCCGCGAAGGAAAAUAACAGCACAGCCAACCUUGGGCUUGACAAACCAAUGAUGAUUUCUGGACACAGAUUUUAUAUGAUAAAUGUCAAGAAUUAAAAAAAUAUACACAAAGCCAAAAAAGAUACACAGACGUAUAUUAAGUCUAUAAAACAAAAAUCAAGAACAAAAUUUUUGUCAGACAUGUCAGAGCAUUAAGAUUUGUAUUUACAAAUUAAAAAUCAUGUAAA
Mytilus californianus (California mussel) is the source of this 384-nucleotide long non-coding RNA. RefSeq lists it as uncharacterized. The transcript is spliced from 2 exons. NCBI's taxonomy places the organism in Eukaryota, Metazoa, Mollusca, Bivalvia, Mytilida, Mytilidae. The record is from RefSeq and is a predicted model, not a curated record.